RNAcentral lists this ribosomal RNA (468 nucleotides) under uncultured bacterium. RNAcentral's name for it is "partial 16S ribosomal RNA". It matches the Rfam family "Bacterial small subunit ribosomal RNA", at positions 28 to 507 of the family's 1533-position model. The record is from RNAcentral.
GACGAACGCUGGCGGCGUGCUUAACACAUGCAAGUCGAACGGAAAGGCCCUGCUUUUGUGGGGUGCUCGAGUGGCGAAAGGGUGAGUAACACGUGAGUAACCUGCCCUUGACUUUGGGAUAACUUCAGGAAACUGGGGCUAAUACCGGAUAGGAGCUCCUGCUGCAUGGUGGGGGUUGGAAAGUUUCGGCGGUUGGGGAUGGACUCGCGGCUUACCAGCUUGUUGGUGGGGUAGUGGCUUACCAAGGCUUUGACGGGUAGCCGGCCUGUGAGGGUGACCGGCCACAUUGGGACUGAGAUACGGCCCAGACUCCUACGGGGGGCAGCAGUGGGGAAUAUUGCACAAUGGGCGGAAGCCUGAUGCAGCCACGCCGCGUGCGGGAUGACGGCCUUCGGGUUGUAAACCGCUUUCGCCUGUGACGAAGCGUGAGUGACGGUAAUGGGUAAAGAAGCACCGGCUAACUACGUG